Molecule: ribosomal RNA, 497 nt
Filed under: uncultured bacterium
Lineage: Bacteria
Description: partial 16S ribosomal RNA
Rfam family: Bacterial small subunit ribosomal RNA
Source: RNAcentral
GAUGAACGCUGGCGGCGUGCCUAAUACAUGCAAGUCGAGCGAACGGACGAGAAGCUUGCUUCUCUGAUGUUAGCGGCGGACGGGUGAGUAACACGUGGAUAACCUACCUAUAAGACUGGGAUAACUUCGGGAAACCGGAGCUAAUACCGGAUGAUAUUUUGAACCGCAUGGUUCAAAAGUGAAAGACGGUCUUGCUGUCACUUAUAGAUGGAUCCGCGCUGCAUUAGCUAGUUGGUAAGGUAACGGCUUACCAAGGCAACGAUGCAUAGCCGACCUGAGAGGGUGAUCGGCCACACUGGAACUGAGACACGGUCCAGACUCCUACGGGAGGCAGCAGUAGGGAAGCUUCCGCAAUGGGCGAAAGCCUGACGGAGCAACGCCGCGUGAGUGAUGAAGGUCUUCGGAUCGUAAAACUCUGUUAUUAGGGAAGAACAUAUGUGUAAGUAACUGUGCACAUCUUGACGGUACCUAAUCAGAAAGCCACGGCUAACUACGUG